AAACCAAGUCUUGCAAAAACAUCAAGGGACUUUUCAUGAUCACAUCAUGGGAACUGCUGCGCUAACUAAGCAGGUUCAGAGGAGCUGACACAACAGCCUGUCCCCCAAGAAGAGGGUACCACUGUUCCCUCUGCUCUAAACCCCUGCUAUGGGAAUUGCUGCCCAUCAUGUGCCAUGCAAUGGCCAAAACAGGCUUGGGAACUGUGCAACAGCUUUGGUGACAAUCAAGAUGAUGCUGCUUGUCAACACUAAGCCAAAACAGAUUAUUGUGAUGAGGGAAUCAGAACUCUCCAAGCACAAUCAUGAAAUCUGACCCAAUAGACUCCUGCAGCCUCUCUUGCUAUCAAUCAGCUGUAGGUUAAAUUCUCUCAGAGAAGAAAGCAAUCAAAGUUUAUUUCAGAGUGCAUUGAGAUAAUUCCUAGACCUCACUGAAAUAAAUGAAUGCCUCUCUCACA
Molecule: long non-coding RNA, 455 nt
Filed under: Zonotrichia albicollis (white-throated sparrow)
Lineage: Eukaryota; Metazoa; Chordata; Aves; Passeriformes; Passerellidae
Description: lncRNA (ENSZALG00000010090.1)
Source: RNAcentral